This 301-nucleotide ribosomal RNA is filed under the name uncultured bacterium. RNAcentral's name for it is "partial 16S ribosomal RNA". It matches the Rfam family "Bacterial small subunit ribosomal RNA", at positions 509 to 807 of the family's 1533-position model. The record is from RNAcentral.
CAGCAGCCGCGGUAACACGUAGGGUGCGAGCGUUAAUCGGAAUUACUGGGCGUAAAGCGUGCGCUGGCGGUUGUGUAAGACAGGUGUGAAAUCCCCGGGCUUAACCUGGGAACUGCGCUUGUGACUGCACAGCUAGAGUAUGGCAGAGGGGGGUGGAAUUCCACGUGUAGCAGUGAAAUGCGUAGAGAUGUGGAGGAACACCGAUGGCGAGGGCAGCCCCCUGGGCCAAUACUGACGCUCAUGCACGAAAGCGUGGGGAGCAAACAGGAUUAGAUACCCCCGUAGUCCCUGUCUCUUAUAC